GGGCUGAGCUGUGAUGGCGAGCGAAAUAUAGUAGCGAAGUUCCUGAUUCCACACUGCCAAGAAAAGCCUCUAGCGAGGUGAGAGGUGCCCGUACCGCAAACCGACACAGGUAGGCGAGGAGAGAAUCCUAAGGUGAUCGAGAGAACUCUCGUUAAGGAACUCGGCAAAAUGACCCCGUAACUUCGGGAGAAGGGGUGCUCUGUUAGGGUGCAAGCCCGAGAGAGCCGCAGUGAAUAGGCCCAGGCGACUGUUUAGCAAAAACACAGGUCUCUGCGAAGCCGUAAGGCGAAGUAUAGGGGCUGACGCCUGCCCGGUGCUGGAAG
This 323-nucleotide ribosomal RNA is filed under the name Enterococcus faecalis. RNAcentral describes it as "partial 23S ribosomal RNA". It matches the Rfam family "Bacterial large subunit ribosomal RNA", at positions 1553 to 1875 of the family's 2925-position model. Lineage: Bacteria; Bacillati; Bacillota; Bacilli; Lactobacillales; Enterococcaceae. The record is from RNAcentral.